CGCUCUCUGGGAUUAAAAUAUAGAGAGUCGGGCCUGCUCAGUGGAAUAUCUAAACAGCCGCAGUACCCUGACUGUGCAAAGGUAGCAUAAUAAAUUGCUUUUUAAUUAAAGGCUAGAAUGAAUGGUUUAACGAAGGUUUAGCUGUCUCUUUUAUACUAAAUAAAAAUUAAUUUUUAGGUGCAGAAGCCUAAAUAAACUUGAAAGACGGAAAGACCCUAUUGAGCUUAGGAAUAUUUAUAAGCUAUAUGUAUGUAAUAGAUUCAUUUGGUUGGGGCAACAAAAGAACAUAGCUAGCUUCUUUUUAGUAAAUAAAUUUAUAUAUUUUUUGAUCCGCUAAGUUGCGAUAAAAGAUCAAGUUACCAUAGGGAUAACAGCGUAAUCUUUUUGGAGAGCCCUUAUUGAAAAAAAGGUUUACGACCUCGAUGUUGGAUUAAGAGUGCUAGUUGGUGUAAAAGCUAAUAUAAGCUGGUCUGUUCGACCAUUAAAUUCUUACA
RNAcentral lists this ribosomal RNA (494 nucleotides) under Lepidopleurus cajetanus. Its description in RNAcentral is "partial 16S ribosomal RNA". It matches the Rfam family "Bacterial large subunit ribosomal RNA", at positions 1817 to 2600 of the family's 2925-position model. Lineage: Eukaryota; Metazoa; Mollusca; Polyplacophora; Lepidopleurida; Lepidopleuridae. The record is from RNAcentral.